Molecule: long non-coding RNA, 311 nt
Organism: Vidua macroura (Pin-tailed whydah)
Lineage: Eukaryota; Metazoa; Chordata; Aves; Passeriformes; Viduidae
Exons: 3
Source: RefSeq, a predicted model, not a curated record
GCUGCGCUCGGCAGAGAUGAAUCUGGCCCAGGGUGUCUCUCUAGAAUGUUCCUUUGGCAAUGCCUACCAGGAAGCCUCACGCUUGUCCGUCGCCUUCCCCUUUGCACGCACAUCCCCGUGCUUGCGCUCGCGCAGGCACGCGGGGCUGCGCCGUGCGGCAAAUUGCUUAUACACAUGGCCAGCCUGACACCAAAAAUAAACAGCAUAAGCCUGGAACGGUUGUCACAAGGGGCAGAGAGAACUUGUCAGGCAGGAGUGUGUGAGCCGGCAAGAUGAUAAUGUGGCAUGACACUUCUGAAAUGAGACACCGG